This 70-nucleotide transfer RNA is filed under the name Odorrana grahami (Yunnanfu frog). RNAcentral's name for it is "tRNA-Ala". It matches the Rfam family "tRNA". Rfam says of the family: Transfer RNA (tRNA) molecules are approximately 80 nucleotides in length. Their secondary structure includes four short double-helical elements and three loops (D, anti-codon, and T loops). Further hydrogen bonds mediate the characteristic L-shaped molecular structure. tRNAs have two regions of fundamental functional importance: the anti-codon, which is responsible for specific mRNA codon recognition, and the 3' end, to which the tRNAs corresponding amino acid is attached (by aminoacyl-tRNA synthetases). tRNAs cope with the degeneracy of the genetic code in two manners: having more than one tRNA (with a specific anti-codon) for a particular amino acid; and 'wobble' base-pairing, i.e. permitting non-standard base-pairing at the 3rd anti-codon position. The record is from RNAcentral. RNAcentral also lists the same sequence under 2 other names. Lineage: Eukaryota; Metazoa; Chordata; Amphibia; Anura; Ranidae.
AGGAUUUUAUCUUAAUUUAAAGAGUUUGAGUUGCAUUCAUGAGAUGUAGGUUAAUAUCCUACAAGUCCUA